This 515-nucleotide ribosomal RNA is filed under the name uncultured bacterium. RNAcentral describes it as "partial 16S ribosomal RNA". It matches the Rfam family "Bacterial small subunit ribosomal RNA", at positions 28 to 523 of the family's 1533-position model. The record is from RNAcentral.
GAUGAACGCUGGCGGCGUGCCUAAUACAUGCAAGUCGAGCGAAUGGAUUAAGAGCUUGCUCUUAUGAAGUUAGCGGCGGACGGGUGAGUAACACGUGGGUGACCUGCCCAUAAGACUGGGAUAACUCCGGGAAACCGGGGCUAAUACCGGAUAACAUUUUGAACCGCAUGGUUCGAAAUCGAAAGGCGGCUUCGGCUGUCACUUAUGGAUGGACCCGCGUCGCAUUAGCUAGUUGGUGAGGUAACGGCUCACCAAGGCAACGAUGCGUCGCCGUCCUGAGAGGGGGAACGGCCACACAGGGACUGAGACACGGCCCAGAGUCCUACGGGAGGCAGCAGUAGGGAAUCUUCCGAAAUGGACGAAAGUCUGACGGAGCAACGCCGCGUGAGUGAUGAAGGCUUUCGGGUCGUAAAACUCUGUUGUUAGGGAAGAACAAGUGCUAGUUGAAUAAGCUGGCACCUUGACGGUACCUAACCAGAAAGCCACGGCUAACUACGUGCCAGCCGCCGCCGUAA